AUAAGGAGCAACCUGGAAGAUUGCGCAGCCGCAGCUGGGCCAGGCCUGCUGGCGCUGAGCAUGCCAAGCUCCAGGAUGUUAUGGGAGUGAAAGAGUAGGAAAUCGAAAGCACUGACAGAACCAGAUGGCUCAUCUCCCCUCUCCAGCUCAGGGAUGCUCCUGGCCUCUGGGUCGCGGGGUCACUGUGCUCCACCCUGACUGCUGUCAGAGGCCAGAGAGCCUUACAGUUGUUGACAAAUGAGGUCCUCACCACAUAGCUUGGGACACAACAGUCCCGCUCUUCAAGGCGCUUUCUGGGAAAAGCUUCCCUCAGAGAAUGUUCUGGAGUCCUUUUAUGAGGGACCGGUCUCUUGCAUUCAGACUUCCUCGUUGAGGCUAUUGCAUGACACCACUCCCCACUCCCCCACCCCCACCAUCCUCACUGCUUUCCUGACCAGGGAAUCUUUGAGAACGAGGUGCCUCCCAGCUGCAGCUUCAACAAGCAGAGAACCCUAAAUUGGAUACCAUGCUGAGAUAGAGAACACCUUGGAUAGUUCCUGCCCCAGAGAGAUAACAGUUGGCCUCAGGAUCUGAAAGUGGCACCUAGAGGUGGCUCAGCCGUAUGUCUACAACCACAAACUUGGCAGGCUCCGUGCCAAGCCUCAAGCGUGGAGUCUGACUCGGAUGGCCUCAGUACUAGCUCUGCACCCAGAUAUGUGACAGCAGCAGCAGGUCCGGACAGAGCCCACACCGGCUGAGGAUCACGGAGGGACUCGGUUUGGCUAUGUGAGCUAUGACUCCAGUCUACAGAGUAGGAAAAGCAGAGGGGUCAAGCAGGGGGUAGGAGGGUACAAGGAGAAGUCCUGGGCCCACGCUGCACAACACAAACAGAAGGAUGAAAAGUCACUUACACUAAUCAGUGUUUCCAUAGCGUUUGCUCAACCAGUGUACUAAGUGGAAGCUGAAAACCAGGAAAACAUUGGAACCACGGCGAGAAGGAGGACUGCUUAUGGUGUCUGAGCAAGGUAUAAAAUCUAACCUUGUUCUUGUAAGUGCCUGCUCAACCGAAUCCACUGCAAGUUAAUCCAAGGGUAUCAGGCAGGUGAGAUGAACUGGCUCCUUCUUAGGUAUCCGAGGAUGCUGAGAACUGGGACGGCUAGCAAGGACCCGGAGCUGUGUGUGCUGGGCCCAGAGCUGUGUGAGCUAAGCCUGGAGCUGUGUGAGCUAGACUGGGAAUGGCUUUGGUCCUAUUCCCUGCUGCAGCUAGUCCUGUGUGACUGAGGGAGCCAGCGGGGCUGAUACCAAGUUAAGUGGCAAUAAAGUGAUUCUCACGGUGCUGA
Molecule: non-coding RNA, 1319 nt
Organism: Myodes glareolus (Bank vole)
Lineage: Eukaryota; Metazoa; Chordata; Mammalia; Rodentia; Cricetidae
Source: RefSeq, a predicted model, not a curated record